CGACCGGCGCACGGGUGAGUAACGCGUAUCCAACCUGCCCACCACUUGGGGAGUAACCUUGCGAAAGUAAGACUAAUACCCAAUGAUAUCUCUAGAAGACAUCUGAAAGAGAUUAAAGAUUUAUCGGUGAUGGAUGGGGAUGCGUCUGAUUAGCUUGUUGGCGGGGUAACGGCCCACCAAGGCAACGAUCAGUAGGGGUUCUGAGAGGAAGGCCCCCCACAUUGGAACUGAGACACGGUCCAA
Molecule: ribosomal RNA, 243 nt
Filed under: uncultured bacterium
Lineage: Bacteria
Description: partial 16S ribosomal RNA
Rfam family: Bacterial small subunit ribosomal RNA
Source: RNAcentral